AUGUAUAUUUAAAUUCUUUUAAUAUAUAAUAAAUUCAAAUAAUAAGUAUCAUACCUUAUUGUUUGCAGAAUUUUAUAAAUGUCAGUUUUCAUAGAUACUAAAUUACUUAUACCUUUUACAGGGGGAUAUCCGUCCGGGUAAAAUAACAUACCAGCAGUUUCACCUUCUUCUAAUCAAAAGUGGCUAGCAUGCCAAUAUAUAAAUAAUAAAAUUGUUAUAUUUUCUCCAUUGAGCAGAUUCAAAAUGAAUUGUAAGAAGAUAUUUAUGGGCCAUGUGGCUCCUGCUUAUGCGUGCAGUUUGGAUGUUUCUCCUGACAUGAGGUAUGGGCCUGGAAAACAACAAAAUCGUGUGAAAAUGAAAAGCACAUAUUGGUGUCUGUACUAACAUAUUAUACAUCCUUGUGAAACUUAAAAAAUAGUAACAUCCGAAUGGGACAGACACGUAAAAUGUUGAAAUUAAGCAUAUACAAAAACUAAGUAUUUAAUCGACGGAGGUUUUAGUACUCCUUUGAUGUAAUACAUAUUAUACAUAUUGCUUUUAUGAAUGUUCAAUUGUAUUUUUGUAACACAUUAAAUGCAAAGAUAGGAGGGCUAUAUAGAAUAGAUCUAAGCUUCUUUUUGAGCAAACAUUCUCUUUUUACCAUCUCGUAAAUUUGUAUACGAAGAAUUUGACAAUAAAGUAAUAUUUUCAUAAAAUCAG
Long non-coding RNA from Bombus huntii, 699 nucleotides. RefSeq lists it as uncharacterized. The record is from RefSeq and is a predicted model, not a curated record. NCBI's taxonomy places the organism in Eukaryota, Metazoa, Arthropoda, Insecta, Hymenoptera, Apidae. The transcript is spliced from 2 exons.